CUAAUCUUCAAAAAGCACCGCAGCAGUCGGUAGUCAGGUCAUUUGAGUAAUGAUCCGAAGCCUCCACCUAGGACAGAUGUUGGCUCUAAAGGCCUGAAAAUUAACCUGGAGACAAACUAUUUUCCAAUCAGUGUUAAAAAUAAGUUUGCAGAACUGGUUCAUUAUGAUGUCUCUCUAAAAAAACACAACAAAGAUGCAAAUCUUCCACGAAAAACGAAAAUGGAGAUAUUUGAAAAAAUGAAGAUGAUAUAUGAAAAGGAUUUCAAGAAUUACCCACUUGCUUAUGACUCAGAAAGGAAUGCAUACAGUGUGGGUGUCAUCCCUGCUCUUCAAACUCCUGAUUGCCAGAGUACUUAUGAGGCGAGUAUUUAUUAAAUAUGUAGAAAUGUGAUUUUGAAAUAUCUAAUGAUAUAAUGUGUGUUGCUAGCAAUCGGUUUGAGUAAAGAUUCUUUGAAGAGAGGUUAAAACAUUGAGCUUUCAUGCCAGAAGAUCACACGGUCUCAAUAUUUUUCCUUCUCCAAUUGUUCAGAAAUUUAUUACAGUUAUAGGCUCUGUACAUGCAUGAUGAAUCCAAAAUUGCAUUUCAGUAAGUUGUGACCUAAACUGCUAUAUAGUAUGUAAAUACACAGUAGGUUAUGAAGGUGUGCAUGCUGGAAAAGUCUUUGGUACAAGGAAUACUUAAGUGUCACAAUAAUGCAGCUCACAGCCUGGGGGACUGAGAUGCGUACCAACACUGUGGCGCUAUCCUUCCCAAC
This 755-nucleotide unclassified non-coding RNA is filed under the name Homarus americanus (American lobster). Its description in RNAcentral is "protein argonaute 4B-like, transcript variant X1". The record is from RNAcentral. Lineage: Eukaryota; Metazoa; Arthropoda; Malacostraca; Decapoda; Nephropidae.